UAUAAGUGCAACCAUAAGUUUUCGUGUCCAAAUUUAAUCGUUCGUUUUAUCUAAAAAUUGUUUAUAAUUAGUAUUUUUAUUGUUAUGAGAUGAUAAAACAUGAAUAGUACUUUACUCAUGACUUAUGUUUUUAAAUUUUUUUCAAAAUUUUUUUAAAUAAGACAGACGGUUAAAGUUGGACGCGAAAAACCACGGCUGCACUUCUA
MicroRNA precursor from Oryza rufipogon (brownbeard rice), 206 nucleotides. It matches the Rfam family "MIR812 microRNA precursor family". The record is from Rfam. NCBI's taxonomy places the organism in Eukaryota, Viridiplantae, Streptophyta, Magnoliopsida, Poales, Poaceae.